RNAcentral lists this ribosomal RNA (2144 nucleotides) under Sepietta sp. France-WK. Its description in RNAcentral is "bacterial SSU rRNA". It matches the Rfam family "Eukaryotic small subunit ribosomal RNA". Lineage: Eukaryota; Metazoa; Mollusca; Cephalopoda; Sepiida; Sepiolidae. The record is from RNAcentral.
GUAAGUUCACGCCACGCAUUAGAACGGGCGAAACCGCGAAUGGCUCAGGAACCGGACCUAAUCCUCGGGACCGUAUUCCUCCUCGGAGGCGAUGGAUAACUGUGGCAAUUCUAGAGCUAAUACAUGUGACACAGGCCGCGAUCGGUCGGCGCGUUGUCGUCGCCUCGCCUUGCGCGCUGGCACCCGCGUCGGCCGUUCCGGGUCGCGGCGCUACAUAUUAGACUGAGACCGAUGCGCGUUAUUCCGUCCUCCCGUCGUCGUCGUCGGCGUCAGCUUUCGUCGGUGGCGGGGCUCAUAGGGCGGCGCGCUCCGCUUUGGUGACUCUGGAUAACUCACUGGUCGAUCGCACGGGCUUUCACGCCCGGCGACGGGUCUCUCGAGGGUCCGCCCUAUCAACUGUCGACGGUCGGUUAAGUGCCUACCGUGGUUACUACGGGUAACGGGGAAUCGGGGUUCGAUUCCGGAGAGGGAGCAUGCGAAACGGCUACCACAUCCAAGGAAGGCAGCAGGCGCGCAAAUUACCCACUCCCGGCACGGGGAGGUAGUGACGAAAAAUAACGACGCGGGACUCUGUCGAGGCCCCGCGAUCGGAAUGAGUACACUUCAAAUCCGUUAACGAGGACCAACCGGAGGGCAAGUCUGGUGCCANNNNNGCUGAGCUUGUCGACGNUCGAUUCCCGGCCUUUCCGCCGGUGUAACCGCUAGCAUAUCCGUCACGCGGUCCUGCCGGCGAGGUGGACGAGGAGACCGAGUCGGGAUCCGGGAGCGGUAAUGGGCUGGGAACGAAAUCACGGGGUGCCGGUUGGUGCGGCUCGCUCGGGUGGCGUGUGUGCGGGGGCUCGCUCUCUGUCGCGCGCCUCUCCGCCGACGGGUCCAUCUCCCUCUCCUCGCUUCCUCCCUCCUCGCCCUCCCCCCGACCCACUCCGAGUCCUUGCUUCGUGCCUGUCUGCGCGCGUGUGCGGUCGGCGGUUUCUCCUCCAAGGGUGCUCUUAACCGAGUGUCCGCGGCGGCCGGUACGUUCACUUUGAAAAAAUUAGAGUGCUCAGAGCGGGCUGUUCAAGCUUGCAUACGAUAAGCAUGGAAUGAUGGAAGAGGGCCUCGUCUACGUCUGUCGGUCUCCGUCUACGGCGAGGCAAUGAUCGAAGGGAGCGGUCGGGGCCACUCGUAUUGCGACGUUAGAGGUGAAAUUCUUGGAUCGUCGCAAGACGAACUGCAGCGAUGGCGUGUGGCAAGCACGUUUUCCUCGAUCAAGAGCGAAAGUCGGAGGUUCGAAGACGAUCAGAUACCGUCGUAGUUCCGACCGUAAACGAUGCCGACCGGCGAUCCGCCGGCGUUCGCUUCCAUGACCCGGCGGGUAGCCUGCGGGAAACCAGAGUUCGGUUCCGGGGGGAGUAUGGUUGCAAAGCUGAAACUUAAAGGAAUUGACGGAAGGGCACCACCAGGAGUGGAGCCUGCGGCUUAAUUUGACUCAACACGGGAAAACUCACCCGGUCCGGACACCGGUAGGAUUGACAGAUCGAUAGCUCUUUCUCGAUUCGGUGGGUGGUGGUGCAUGGCCGUUCUUAGUUGGUGGAGCGAUCCGUCUGGUUGAUUCCGAUAACGAACGAGACUCCGGCCUGCUAACUAGUGCGCCGAUGUGAGUGAUUUUUACGGCGGGCUCGGCGUCCUUCGUGGCGCUCGGGUCCGGGUCGGUUUUCUCACGCACUUCUUAGAGGGACGGGUGGCAGAAAGCCACACGAGGCGGAGCGAUAACAGGUCUGUGAUGCUGUCUGUGAUGCCCUUAGAUGUCCGGGGCCGCACGCGCGCUACACUGGAGGUAUCAGCGGGGACUUCGCCCCGGCCCGAGAGGGUUGGGAAACCUCUUAACCACCUCCCGUGAUAGGGAUCGGGGCCUGUAACCAACCCCGUGAACGAGGAAUUCCCGGUAGGCGCGGGUCAACAGCCCGCGUCGAUCACGUCCCUGCCCUUUGUACACACCGCCCGUCGCUACUACCGAUCGAACGGUCCGGUGAGGUCCUCGGAUCUGGCCGACGACGCCGCCGGGCAGUGUGCGAUGUCGGCAACGGCUCGUGCCUCAGCCUCGGCGUUCGAUGCCUGGAGAAGACGACCGAACCCGAUCGUUUAGAGGAAGUAAAAGUCGUACA